GUCGCUUUGUCCGAGUGGUUAAGGAGAUAGACUUGAAAUCUAUUGCACGUGUGCGCGUAGGUUCAAAUCCUGCAGGCGACG
This 81-nucleotide transfer RNA is filed under the name Taphrina deformans PYCC 5710. RNAcentral describes it as "tRNA-Ser (TGA) (tRNA-Ser-TGA-1-1)". It matches the Rfam family "tRNA". From Rfam's summary of the family: Transfer RNA (tRNA) molecules are approximately 80 nucleotides in length. The record is from Rfam by way of RNAcentral. Lineage: Eukaryota; Fungi; Ascomycota; Taphrinomycetes; Taphrinales; Taphrinaceae.